Molecule: long non-coding RNA, 264 nt
Filed under: Mytilus galloprovincialis (Mediterranean mussel)
Lineage: Eukaryota; Metazoa; Mollusca; Bivalvia; Mytilida; Mytilidae
Source: RNAcentral
UUUUCUAAUCGUCUACCAUUUUUGAAAUUGGGUAUCAAAAAUAAGAAUUUGUGUUUUCUAUAAACCCAUAUGGCAUUCAUAUAGGGUACACUUGAUUUCCAUCAGUAGCUAAAAGUUUUGUAUAGCUGACAUCAUCGUCAUCAUAUGCGAGACCUUUCACUGUAUUUCCAAAGGUGGCGAUUUUACCUUGAUAUUUCCAACAAAGAAGAACAACACUUCAUUCUUCACUCUUCAAUCUGUAUUUCGUCCAGUUAAAUUUAACCU